CCGCGUUUCCACCGCAGGAACUUUACCCAGGAACUAGGGACUUGGUCCGGUACUUGGUGUGUUUCCACCGCAGGAACCAGGAACUAAAUAAAAGUUCCGGGUAAAAAAAUGCCCCCCAGAAAGUCCCUGCUGGCGAGGUGGUACUUUUUUAAAGUUCCGGAACUUUCGGGGGCGGGACUUUGGCGCUAAACAUGCUGAUUGGUUGAGUUCAGGCAGCAUUGGUUGAGUUCAACCACCAUUUAUUCGGAUCAACAUUUUCAAAAUAUUACUGUUAUUGUGUCAUGAAAUGUAAUUUUAAAAGUAUUUCAGGCGAGAAUGUAGUUGUUUAAAACUCAAAUCUGUUGUUUAUUUAUAAAGACAGCGCCUAUUUAAAAAUGUGUUUCGCCGAUCUCGUAGACGGUGAGCUCCACUCGAUCAGCGGGAGCUCAGUCCUCAUGUAUCCGCCGAGAAGCAGCCUCUCCUGGGAUAGACCUUCUGUGCCGCUGGCUCUGAUGUGUCUUUAGUGGUUAAACAUAAAAUAUAAUUCAGCUGCGGGGUAAAUCUAACAGGUUUUCUUUGGUCUGUAUUCAAUUUAUCUAUAUGUUAAAAUGAAAAUAAAAAAGGCGAAUUUAUAUAAUA
Molecule: long non-coding RNA, 618 nt
Organism: Carassius gibelio (silver crucian carp)
Lineage: Eukaryota; Metazoa; Chordata; Actinopteri; Cypriniformes; Cyprinidae
Exons: 2
Source: RefSeq, a predicted model, not a curated record